Molecule: ribosomal RNA, 392 nt
Filed under: uncultured bacterium
Lineage: Bacteria
Description: bacterial SSU rRNA
Rfam family: Bacterial small subunit ribosomal RNA
Source: RNAcentral
AGUGAACGCUGGCGGUAGGCCUAACACAUGCAAGUCGAACGGCAGCACAGCAGUAGCAAUACUGUGGGUGGCGAGUGGCGGACGGGUGAGGAAUACAUCGGAAUCUACCUUUUCGUGGGGGAUAACGUAGGGAAACUUACGCUAAUACCGCAUACGACCUUAGGGUGAAAGCGGAGGACCUUCGGGCUUCGCGCGGAUAGAUGAGCCGAUGUCGGAUUAGCUAGUUGGCGGGGUAAAGGCCCACCAAGGCUACGAUCCGUAGCUGGUCUGAGAGGAUGAUCAGCCACACUGGAACUGAGACACGGUCCAGACUCCUACGGGAGGCAGCAGUGGGGAAUAUUGGACAAUGGGCGCAAGCCUGAUCCAGCCAUACCGCGUGGGUGAAGAAGGCC